GCGAACGGGUGAGUAACGCGUAGAUAAUCUACCUUUAAGUGGGGGACAACUUGGGGAAACUCAAGCUAAUACCGCAUAAUCUUGCUAAUGUUGAUUAGUAAGCAAAGGGGCCUUUAAAGCCUCGCUUUUAGAUGAGUCUGCGUCCUAUUAGCUAGUUGGUGGGGUAAAAGCCUACCAAGGCGACGAUAGGUAGCCGGCCUGAGAGGGUGGUCGGCCACACUGGGACUGAGACACGGCCCAGACUCCUACGGGAGGCAGCAGCUAAGAAUCUUCCACAAUGGGCGAAAGCCUGAUGGAGCGACACCGCGUGAGUGAAGAAGGUCGAAAGAUUGUAAAACUCUUUUAUAGGUGAGGAAUAAGUAGAGUAGGAAAUGACUCUAUGAUGACGUUAACCUAUGAAUAAGCCCCGGCUAAUUACGUGCCAGCAGCCGCGGUAAUACGUAAGGGGCAAGCGUUGUUCGGAAUUAUUGGGCGUAAAGAGUACGUAGGCGGUUCUACAGGUCUCUUAUAAAAGACCACGGCUUAACUGUGGAAAUAUAAGAGAAAC
RNAcentral lists this ribosomal RNA (547 nucleotides) under uncultured bacterium. Its description in RNAcentral is "bacterial SSU rRNA". It matches the Rfam family "Bacterial small subunit ribosomal RNA", at positions 98 to 633 of the family's 1533-position model. The record is from RNAcentral.